RNAcentral lists this unclassified non-coding RNA (254 nucleotides) under uncultured Acidimicrobiia bacterium. RNAcentral describes it as "contains 16S-23S intergenic spacer region". It matches the Rfam family "Bacterial small subunit ribosomal RNA", at positions 524 to 776 of the family's 1533-position model. Lineage: Bacteria; Bacillati; Actinomycetota; Acidimicrobiia. The record is from RNAcentral.
UACGUAGGGUGCAAGCGUUAUCCGGAAUCAUUGGGCGUAAAGAGCUCGUAGGCGGUUCAGCGAGUCGGCUGUGAAAGUCCGAGGCUUAACCUCGGAAUUGCAGUCGAUACUGUUGUGACUCGAGUCCGGUAGAGGAGAAUGGAAUUCCCGGUGUAGCGGUGAAAUGCGCAGAUAUCGGUAGGAACACCAGUAGCGAAGGCGGUUCUCUGGGCCGGCACUGACGCUGAUGGACGAAAGCGUGGGGAGCGAACAGG